This 301-nucleotide ribosomal RNA is filed under the name uncultured bacterium. Its description in RNAcentral is "partial 16S ribosomal RNA". It matches the Rfam family "Bacterial small subunit ribosomal RNA", at positions 509 to 809 of the family's 1533-position model. The record is from RNAcentral.
CAGUCGCCGCGGUAAUACGGAGGGCGCGAGCGUUACCCGGAUUUACUGGGCGUAAAGGGCGUGUAGGCGGCCUGGGGCGUCCCAUGUGAAAGGCCACGGCUCAACCGUGGAGGAGCGUGGGAUACGCUCAGGCUAGAGGGUGGGAGAGGGUGGUGGAAUUCCCGGAGUAGCGGUGAAAUGCGCAGAUACCGGGAGGAACGCCGAUGGCGAAGGCAGCCACCUGGUCCACUUCUGACGCUGAGGCGCGAAAGCGUGGGGAGCAAACCGGAUUAGAUACCCCCGUAGUCCCUGUCUCUUAUAA